UACGUAGGGUGCGAGCGUUAAUCGGAAUUACUGGGCGUAAAGCGUGCGCAGGCGGUUCGUUAAGCCAGAUGUGAAAUCCCCGGGCUUAACCUGGGAACUGCAUUUGUGACUGGCGAGCUAGAGUAUGGCAGAGGGGGGUAGAAUUCCACGUGUAGCAGUGAAAUGCGUAGAGAUGUGGAGGAAUACCGAUGGCGAAGGCAGCCCCCUGGGCCAAUACUGACGCUCAUGCACGAAAGCGUGGGGAGCAAACAGG
Molecule: ribosomal RNA, 253 nt
Filed under: uncultured bacterium
Lineage: Bacteria
Description: partial 16S ribosomal RNA
Rfam family: Bacterial small subunit ribosomal RNA
Source: RNAcentral